GACCACGUGUCUUCUUCCCUCCAGACUUGGCCACGGCUGAUAGACUCCCUGAGAAGGACAGGGAGACCGGAAACCCUGUAAGUCUGCCUGGGUCAUCUCCCGCUGCAUAAGGAAGUCCCCAGAUUAGCAGCCCAGCAACACGUCCCUAUUUCUUGGGUCAGGACGUUGGGAGCAGCUGAACUGGCUGGUUCUGGCUCAGGUCUGUCAUGACGCUGCAGUAGAGGUGUCCACUAGGUUGCAGGAAUCUGUAGGCCUGCCUGGGCAGGAGGACUCACGUCCAAGGUGGUGUACCCCACAUCCAAGGUGGCACACCCCACAGCAGAUGGCUUACCCAGAGGGAAACCAGGACUGGGAUGGGCAGAGGACACACUGUCUUCUGUGGCCUCACUGGAGUGACCUGCCACCACUUCUGCCACUUCUGGUGGUCCCACAGAUCAGCCCUGGUACCCUGUGUGCAGGGACUGCAAGAUGAUGUGAUCCAGGAGGUGGGGCCCUGGGAGGUGGCUGCCAUAGUCCCCCACCCCACAGCCCCCACCCUCAUCCAGGGUCCCUCUCCCUCAGACCCCUGCUGCAAGAGAUCCCCAGGAGGUGACAUAUGCUCAGCUGGACCACGGAGCCCUCACAGAGAGGGCAGCCCGAGCUGGGUCCCCACUGACCACAGAGCCCAGCACAUACGCGACCCUUGCCAGACACUGACUCCUGGGCCUGAGGACACUCCAAGCCACUCUUCCAAAAGCGUGAAGCAGCCAUUGGGAGGACUUCUCUUGGACUCACCAGGUCUCAAAGUCAGCCAGUCAGCUCUGCUGGGGACAGCAGCUGGGGCCUGGAGGUCUCUGAGCAGCAUCUGGGAGAUUCAUCCACCAGGUGGCCCCUGCCACAGCUGACCAGCUGUCAGAGAGGCUGUGUCACAGCUACUUCCAGAGACCCAGCCUCAGUCCCUGGCUGUUUCCAGAGACCAGAAACCAAGGUCUCAUCCUAAGGCUGCUUCCAGAGAACCAGCAAAGGCCACUCCUGGGAUCCCCACCUACUUCAGAGACUGCAUACUGAUGAUGCUCAGUGGUCCCUAACCGCCUCCCUGGGUUCCAGUGCUGACUUGACUGAGACUGGGCUGCACUCAGGCUGCCGAGAGCUGAGCUGGAUCUCUGGGCCAGACCUCACUUGGUACAUCAAUGGACAUCUUUAAAACAGAACAUCCCAGCCCCGGUGGUCAGGCCAGAGAGGUUCAUGUGGACCCAGUGCUGCGGUCUCAGCUGUUCAGAGCAGAGUGGGGGCUACAAGGGCUGUCAGUGCUUCCUGUUUUCUGCAGAACAUAUCGAAUUGAGCAAGGCUGCAUAUAUUCGGGGUGUGCGCCAUGAGGACCUGACCCAGGCAUGCGCCCUGUAGAUUUCCAGAAUCAAACCCUCAGCACAGCUGCACCUGCACGCUGCACGUUAGAUCCCGGGACUUGCUCAUCUGAAGACUGGAAGCCGGUCAGUGUUUCCUGAUGGAGCAUGAGGGUCGGGGUGGAGAAGGGAGGGGGUCUAAAGGGAGGUGCAGAGGGCAAAGGCUGCCCCACCCACCCCCACCACACUCAUGCACAUUCAGGCACACCUAACACAUGCCUUCGCAACACGGCCCACGCUUCCGUGCACACACAGGCACAUUGCACACACCCACUCUCACACCCCAGGAAAACCCCGAGUACCCGUGGGAUGGGUGAGGUGUCUCCUGUUUCAGAUUAAAAUAGAACAAUUACCCUGUGGACCACUAGGGGGCGGGAGUGCCUCAUCUUGAUUAAUAUGUGUGUCUGUCUCAAAAACCAAUCAAUCAACAAACAAAUAAAUAAAAAGAAGAAUCCCAAAG
Molecule: long non-coding RNA, 1842 nt
Filed under: Marmota monax (woodchuck)
Lineage: Eukaryota; Metazoa; Chordata; Mammalia; Rodentia; Sciuridae
Source: RNAcentral